This 484-nucleotide ribosomal RNA is filed under the name uncultured bacterium. RNAcentral describes it as "partial 16S ribosomal RNA". It matches the Rfam family "Bacterial small subunit ribosomal RNA", at positions 30 to 507 of the family's 1533-position model. The record is from RNAcentral.
AUUGAACGCUGGCGGCAGGCCUAACACAUGCAAGUCGAGCGGAUGAAGGGAGCUUGCUCCUGGAUUCAGCGGCGGACGGGUGAGUAAUGCCUAGGAAUCUGCCUGGUAGUGGGGGAUAACGUCCGGAAACGGGCGCUAAUACCGCAUACGUCCAGAUGGUGAAAGUGGGGGAUCUUCGGACCUCACGCUAUCAGAUGAGCCUAGGUCGGAUUAGCUAGUUGGUGGGGUAAAGGCCUACCAAGGCGACGAUCCGUAACUGGUCUGAGAGGAUGAUCAGUCACACUGGAACUGAGACACGGUCCAGACUCCUACGGGAGGCAGCAGUGGGGAAUAUUGGACAAUGGGCGAAAGCCUGAUCCAGCCAUGCCGCGUGUGUGAAGAAGGUCUUCGGAUUGUAAAGCACUUUAAGUUGGGAGGAAGGGCAGUAAGUUAAUACCUUGCUGUUUUGACGUUACCAACAGAAUAAGCACCGGCUAACUUCGUG